UGUGAAGUCGAGAGCUUAGAAUACCCCCAUCAGUACCAUGUGUUGAAUUUUCCUAUACGACUUGAAAUACUAAAGCUUCAUUUAUCAAAAGCCUUUAAAACCACUCCCUUUUGCAUCUCUGCACCAAAUCUCAAAUACCUGAAAUUCUCUGGCUUUUACCUGAAUUCUCAAUACUUAUCAGAAACUGCUGAUCAUCUCAAGCAUCUUGAGGUACUCAAACUGUACCACGUUGAAUUUGGUGAUCAUGGGGAAUGGAAAGUGAGCAGUGGCAAGUUCCUUAAACUCAAAAUCUUGAAACUAGAAUAUGUGUCCUUGAUGAAAUGGGUUGUAGCUGAUGAUGCCUUUCCUAACCUUGAACAAUUGGUUUUGCUUGGAUGUGAAGAUCUUAUAGAGAUCCCUUCUUGUUUCAUGAACAUCCUUUCUCUCAAGUGCAUUGAGGUAGACAUCUGCAACAAGUCUGUUGUAAGUCAGCCAAGGAUAUACAAGAAACACAAGUCGAAUAUAAUCAAAAUACUAAUUUCAAGCUCGUCAUCAUCAAGAAAAUGGUGUUGAAAUUCAAUACAUCUCCUGAUGAAGAGAUAGUUAAAAGAUUAUCCUCUCUUCCAGGGAUAAAAUCAAUUUCAAUUAAUAGGAGAGAAAAGAAACUUACUGUGGGUGGAGAUGUGGAUGCUGAUGAAGUUUGAUUGGUUGUGGGCAAACUAAGCAAGCGUGACAUGCUGUAAUGAAAUGCUGAGCUCUGGUGAACUCAGCCAUGAUGGAUUUCCAGAAAAUGACAAGGUUGUAGUCCCAACUUAUCAACACAAAUGUGUGCUAUAGUCCUUUUGCUUACUGAAGUACUGUAAUACCAAUUCAUGAUACACACACAAACAUUAACUGUAGGAUCAGCAAAAGAUGGCACUGAGAAAAUAAAUGUAGAGUCAAGUUGGGUUAUGACCAAAGUAAAGUCUGGAUGAGUCAAUAAUCUGCUGAUUUAUAAUUAGUUCAACCCAUUGUAAUUUGUUCAAAUUCAACUCAAAAUGCCCAUUUAUCACCUCUAACUGAUGACUACAUCUGCAAAGUUAAUGGUUUUGUUGAUAAAUUUCAAAGCAAGGUUGAGGAACUAGUUACUUAAGCUAGGACCUAAGGUUUUUAUCCAUUUUCAACUGUGAUUUUUGUUGAAUGGUAAAUGGAUACUUUUAAGGCAGUUCUCACACAAAGUAAAUAUCUAUAUAAAAAGAAAAAAACAGUUUUAAUUAUUUAUUGGCCGUAAACUAAAAUCUGUAUUAUUUGUUAUGUCUGCUUUACUUCUGUAUUUUGAACUGCUUUGAUAUGCGUUACUUGAGCCGAGGAUCUUUUGGAAACAGUGCAUCUACCUCUAUGUAAGGGUAAUAAGAUUUGCACACACUCUACCUACCGCAGACCCGUAUCUGUGAGAUCACAUUGGGUAUGGUGUUGGUUGUGAUCUUAAACUAAAAUGUGUAUUCCUGGAGCUAAAAAUUUGACAUCAAAAAGAGAAAGAUCAUAACUUUGUGGGAUCGUUUGUUUAUGUAAGUUUUGUAGCUCUAAAUAUUCUGGAGUCUGGACAACUAUAACUAUAUUUUUUGAGCUAUUAACUCAUUGAGUUAUUCUUU
Molecule: long non-coding RNA, 1610 nt
Organism: Solanum tuberosum (potato)
Lineage: Eukaryota; Viridiplantae; Streptophyta; Magnoliopsida; Solanales; Solanaceae
Exons: 3
Source: RefSeq, a predicted model, not a curated record